UUGCAAUACACGAAAGUGUGACAGGGUCAUCCCGAGUGCCGACCGCUGAGGUUGGCUUUUACCCAGUCUAGAAAGCUGGGGGAAUAAGGAGAGGGCAAGUCUGGUGUCAGCCGCCGCGGUAAUACCAGCUCUCCGAGUGGUGUGGACGUUUAUUGGGCCUAAAGCAUCCGUAGCUGGCUGAGCAAGUCCCUUGUUAAACCCACCGAUUUAAUCGUUGGCGUGCGGGGGAUACUGCUCGGCUAGGGGACGAGAGAGGCAGACGGUAUUCCCGGGGUAGGGGUGAAAUCCUAUAAUCCCGAGAAGACCACCAGUGGCGAAGGCUGUCUGCUAGAACGCGCCCGACGGUGAGGGAUGAAAGCUGGGGGAGCGAACCGG
RNAcentral lists this ribosomal RNA (375 nucleotides) under uncultured archaeon. RNAcentral describes it as "bacterial SSU rRNA". It matches the Rfam family "Archaeal small subunit ribosomal RNA", at positions 350 to 727 of the family's 1478-position model. The record is from RNAcentral.